UACGGGGGGAGCAAGCGUUGUUCGGAUUUACUGGGCGUAAAGAGCGCGCAGGCGGCUGGUCAAGUCCGAUGUGAAAGCUCCCGGCUUAACUGGGAAAUUGCAUCGGAAACUGAUCGGCUGGAAGGUGGGAGAGGGUAGCGGAAUUCCCGGUGUAGUGGUGAAAUGCGUAGAUAUCGGGAGGAACACCAGUGGCGAAGGCGACUACCUGGCCUGUUCUUGACGCUGAGGCGCGAAAGCUAGGGGAGCAAACGGG
RNAcentral lists this ribosomal RNA (253 nucleotides) under uncultured bacterium. RNAcentral's name for it is "partial 16S ribosomal RNA". It matches the Rfam family "Bacterial small subunit ribosomal RNA", at positions 524 to 776 of the family's 1533-position model. The record is from RNAcentral.